RNAcentral lists this ribosomal RNA (468 nucleotides) under uncultured bacterium. Its description in RNAcentral is "partial 16S ribosomal RNA". It matches the Rfam family "Bacterial small subunit ribosomal RNA", at positions 28 to 507 of the family's 1533-position model. The record is from RNAcentral.
GAUGAACGCUGGCGGCGUGCUUAACACAUGCAAGUCGAACGGUGAAGGCGGAGCUUGCUCUUCGGUUUCAGUGGAGCACGGGUGUGUAACACGUGAGCACUCUGCCUCUGACUCUGGUAUAAGCGCUGGAAACGGCGUCUAAUACUGGAUACGAGCUGCGAACGCAUCUUCAGCAGCUGGAAAGAACUUCGGUCAGGGAUGAGCUCGCGGCCUAUCAGCUUGUUGGUGAGGUAACGGCUCACCAAGGCGUCGACGGGUAGCCGGCCUGAGAGGGUGACCGGCCACACUGGGACUGAGACACGGCCCAGACUCCUACGGGAGGCAGCAGUGGGGAAUAUUGCACAAUGGGCGAAAGCCUGAUGCAGCAACGCCGCGUGAGGGAUGACGGCCUUCGGGUUGUAAACCUCUUUUAGCAGGGAAGAAGCGAAAGUGACGGUACCUGCAGAAGAAGCGCCGGCUAACUACGUG